UAUCGCUACUUUUUUCUGCUUAGUGAAUUAUUUGAGUAGAAGUUAGUCAUCAGGAAGAUUUGAGUUUUGUUUUCCAACAUGGCCGCCGCCAGCACACACCGGUCAGCAUUCACUUCAGAAGAAAUACGCCCCGCGGCAGAUUGUGCAGGAGGACAAGAUUCAAGUGCGCGUGCGCGUGACCCCCACCAGCUGUAGUGAGGAGGGGCGGUGGUGGUUCCUCGGUCGCUGGGAGGGUGGGAUCUGUGUCAGCACCUCAACAACACUGCAGGGGAACAUCAGGGGGAAAAUACAUCAUCAGAGAUGAAAAUAUAUCCCGUAAAAAAGUAACAUUACCGUUCCACAAGAUACUGGCGAUUGCUGAGCAACCUUUGAGUGACCAGAGAGGAUUUGUGUGAUUCCAUAGUUGGAAUAAGACGCACGGCGUAAAAGUAUUUGAAUCAAACGACACCAAACAUACAAUAUGUGAGAGUCGGUCUUUAUUUAUUUGUGACAUAUUAUUGUUAGUCGCUCAGCUGAUAAGUGAUCACAGACUCUAUAGUUGGGAGAGGGUUCCAGAUAACAUUUGGAGACCAAGAGAGUGGUAUUGAGUUAGGGACUGGCUUGACACAAAGUGCAACGCUGCACGAUUUAAAAAUCGGCAGCUUAAUAGCACUUAUUACCUUCGUUACGUUACUAAAGCCAAUUAAUUUAUAUUUAAAAAUAACUGUUAGAGAUGAAAUGCUUGUGGGUAAGAUAUCAUUGAACGCCAAAAGAUACGUCAUAUGAUUUAUGUAAUUGUGUUUUAAUCCAUUAUCUUUUGUAUAUUUACACGCAUUUUAACGCCAGACUAAGAUAAAAGAAACUAUUGUUUUUAGUUUCUGUAGGUUAGCUUUGGGGUAGUGGGUCAGAGGGAGUAGGAAACAGGGACGCUUUUAUCAGGAUUCAUCCCUCACAGGGGAGGGGGGCAGUUAGUGAGGACAGACAAGGCGCUAAUGUCGAAUGGAGGAAAGUCUAUGUCAUGAAAAUUCAAUCAAGGAAAUGCUUGUCUACAGUUUUUGUUUGCAAAUGUGACAUUGCAAAUCUAGACCAAUUUCAUAUCAAUACAGAUGCAGUUUCACAUAUCACCUGUAAGAUGCACAUAGAUGUAUGUUAUAUCCAAUAAUACCACACAUGACAUAUGAUAGUGUAAAAACACAAUGAUUAGCAAGGUACAACGAAGACCCACACGUAUUAUAUCACUGCAACAUUAGACAGAGUAUUAGACCUGAUUACAUCCUUUAACAGCAAUGACGAUAGUAGAUUUACAAUGGGAGAUGCAGUUAUUUGCUUUGAGGACAUAAUUAAUACCGUUAGUUUUAAACAUAAUAGCCUGGUAACCAUUUCCAAUCGCUUUGUUUAGGAGUGUUUGCGGGCCCCAGUUCUACUACGCACUGGUCUUGUUUUGUGUCUGACAAUCUUUCCAGUUGGCCUUAAAAGUGUUGAAACCAACCCCGUAAGGAUUCACCGGUGUGUGCUUCUGAACUGAGCGGGCGGACAACACUCACAGCACCGACGACCUACCGAGGAGCUCCCGAUGUGGUUUGGGUCGCUGGCCAACUCCGUCCUUGUACAAUGUUGAAGAAGCCCCGAAUGACGACGUUUAACACAUCUGGAUCCCACGGAGAGGGCCACACAAACUAACAGUCGUCAGACGACUUCAAGAAGGUUCAAAACGGUUCAUCGACGUUGGCGAAGACUCCUCAAGGCUUUCUUCAUCCCCAAAGACACGUCUUGUCCAAGAAUAGUGCCACCCAAGUACUGUUUCUAUUUCUUGUUGAAAAGAUUUUGGUCUUAAAUCCACAACGAGGAAUUGCUAGUUGUCUAUGUUGUAUUGCUUGAGACAACAACGACCGAGUUUAUGAAGCGAAACAUUAUUAUUUCACCUGACGGGUGGGCAAAUGGUUUUUGAAUUUAUUGUAUAUACAGAAAUAGCCGAUAGAUUCUCAGAAAAAAAUAUUUUAGAUGUAUUAUUUUGGUUUUCCAAUGGGAAACUCGCUACUAGCGACUGAAGCAUGCAAGCUGCUCAAUAGUAGAAGUCUAUUUUUUCUGCUUACUCGCUACCCAACUUCUAGGCAAUAGAAGAUUUAAUGCCACAGCAAAACGCUUUGGACCAGUUCAGUUCGGGUUCAGUUAAGAUUCUGUGUUUUGGAAACUGUCGGCAUCCUACAAUUUCACGGUACAUUUCUAGAGGAAUGGGGAAAAUUGCCCGGAGGCUGGCGUAACCCUUUCUGUCAUCGUGUGCCGGCCGACACCGCGCCAACCCGGGCGGCAGCCCUGCAAGGUGAUAUCCGUCUCCAACUCUUCGGCUCCCGUCUAUAAAGACGUGCCAUAUGGAAGCUAUAGAACUUAAUGCCAAGUUGGUACACAAAUAGCGAGCUGGGCGACAGUUCGCUAAUUGUGCCCCAGGACGCCGGUGGGCGGGGUAGAGUCU
Long non-coding RNA from Branchiostoma floridae (Florida lancelet), 2449 nucleotides. RefSeq lists it as uncharacterized. The transcript has 3 exons. Lineage: Eukaryota; Metazoa; Chordata; Leptocardii; Amphioxiformes; Branchiostomatidae. The record is from RefSeq and is a predicted model, not a curated record.